CCUACGGGAGGCAGCAGUGAGGAAUAUUGGUCAAUGGACGAGAGUCUGAACCAGCCAAGUAGCGUGAAGGAUGACUGCCCUAUGGGUUGUAAACUUCUUUUAUAUGGGAAUAAAAUGUUCCACGUGUGGGUUUUUGUAUGUACCUUAUGAAUAAGGAUCGGCUAACUCCGUGCCAGCAGCCGCGGUAAUACGGAGGAUCCGAGCGUUAUCCGGAUUUAUUGGGUUUAACGGGAGCGUAGGUGGAUUGUUAAGUCAGUUGUGAAAGUUUGCGGCUCAACCGUAAAAUUGCAGUUGAUACUGGCAGUCUUGAGUACAGUAGAGGUAGGCGGAAUUCGUGGUGUAGCGGUGAAAUGCUUAGAUAUCACGAAGAACUCCGAUUGCGAAGGUAGCUCACUGGACUGCAACUGACACUGAGGCUCGAAAGUGUGGGUAUCAAACAGGAUUAGAUACCCUUGUAGUC
RNAcentral lists this ribosomal RNA (460 nucleotides) under uncultured bacterium. Its description in RNAcentral is "partial 16S ribosomal RNA". It matches the Rfam family "Bacterial small subunit ribosomal RNA", at positions 338 to 795 of the family's 1533-position model. The record is from RNAcentral.